Molecule: ribosomal RNA, 253 nt
Filed under: uncultured bacterium
Lineage: Bacteria
Description: partial 16S ribosomal RNA
Rfam family: Bacterial small subunit ribosomal RNA
Source: RNAcentral
UACGAAGGGGGCUAGCGUUGUUCGGAAUUACUGGGCGUAAAGCGCGCGCAGGCGGUUCUUUAAGUCAGGGGUGAAAGCCCAGAGCUCAACUCUGGAAUUGCCUUUGAAACUAGAGAACUUGGGUACGGGAGAGGUGAGUGGAAUUCCGAGUGUAGAGGUGAAAUUCGUAGGUAUUCGGAAGAACACCAGUGGCGAAGGCGGCUCACUGGCCCGUUACCGACGCUCAGGCGCGACAGCGUGGGGAGCAAACAGG